This is a long non-coding RNA of Daphnia pulicaria, 346 nucleotides long. RefSeq lists it as uncharacterized. The record is from RefSeq and is a predicted model, not a curated record. The transcript has 3 exons. Lineage: Eukaryota; Metazoa; Arthropoda; Branchiopoda; Diplostraca; Daphniidae.
UUAUGUUCGCCAUCCGAUCGAACUAGACCAACAGAACCGGCUCCAAGCUAUCCUUCUCCUUCAACCUCUAAUGAAAAUGAAAUCGAUGUCGGACCCCCCGAGUCGAUUAACAAACCCUACGACAGUGAACCGUGUUCUGAGGCCAACGCCAAUUGUCGUGCUAUCAGUUGUCCAUACGGAAUUGAAAGGUUCACAUCCAAUUCCGGAUGCGAUGAAUGCCGAUGCUACGAGCCUUGCCGUGGCUAUUCAUGCCCAGAAGGGACCGAAUGUCAAGCCGAAUUGGUUCGCGAUGAGUCCGAUCCUAAUCAGUCAGCCACUCGUAUCUAACCUGCGUGCAGACAAGGUA